This 327-nucleotide ribosomal RNA is filed under the name Phyzelaphryne miriamae (Miriam's frog). RNAcentral describes it as "partial 12S ribosomal RNA". The record is from RNAcentral. Lineage: Eukaryota; Metazoa; Chordata; Amphibia; Anura; Eleutherodactylidae.
GGUGAGUAUCAUUCCUGCCCCUCAUGGAGGUAGGAAGUAGGUAUGAGGCCCAACCCCCAUUGCCCAAGACACCUAGCCCAGCCACACCCACAAGGACUUCAGCAGUGAUUAACAUUGAACAUAAGCGACAGCUUGAUUCAAUUAUAGUAAGAUAGAGUUGGCAAAGUUAGUGCCAGCCGCCGCGGUCACACUACAUCAACUCAAAUUAAUUUCUAUCGGCGUAAAGCGUGAUUAAAGCAAGCCCCCCCCCCAACUAGAGUUAAACAUAAAUUUUUUUGUUCAAACCUCAUUUAUAAGAAACACCACAACGAAAGUCACUCUAAACUA